RNAcentral lists this ribosomal RNA (1396 nucleotides) under uncultured bacterium. RNAcentral describes it as "16S ribosomal RNA". It matches the Rfam family "Bacterial small subunit ribosomal RNA". The record is from RNAcentral.
AGAGUUUGAUCCUGGCUCAGGAUGAACGCUAGCUACAGGCUUAACACAUGCAAGUCGAGGGGCAGCAUGACAGGAUUUCGGUCCUGUUGAUGGCGACCGGCGGAUGGGUGCGUAACGCGUAUCCAACCUGCCCCCGUCCCGGGUAUAGCCGUGGGAAACCGCGAUUAACACCCGAUGGUGCGUGACGGCCGCAUGACGGUCACGCCAAAUGCGAAGGACGGGGAUGGGGAUGCGUUCCAUUAGGCAGUCGGCGGGGUAACGGCCCACCGAGCCCGCGAUGGAUAGGGGUUCUGAGAGGAAGGUCCCCCACACUGGCACUGAGACACGGGCCAGACUCCUACGGGAGGCAGCAGUGAGGAAUAUUGGUCAAUGGGCGAGAGCCUGAACCAGCCAAGUAGCGUGCAGGAUGACGGCCCUAUGGGUUGUAAACUGCUUUUGCGCGGGGAUAAAGUGUGCCACGUGUGGCAUAUUGCAGGUACCGUGCGAAUAAGGACCGGCUAAUUCCGUGCCAGCAGCCGCGGUAAUACGGAAGGUCCGGGCGUUAUCCGGAUUUAUUGGGUUUAAAGGGAGCGCAGGCGGGAGAGAAAGCCAGCCGUCAAAUGUGCCAGCUCAACUGGCGCUCGCGGUUGGAACUGUUCUUCUUGGGUGCACAAGAGGGAGGCGGAAUUCGUGGUGUAGCGGUGAAAUGCAUAGAUAUCACGAAGAACUCCGAUUGCGAAGGCAGCCUCCUGGGGUGUUACCGACGCUCAUGCUCGAAGGCGCGGGUAUCAAACAGGAUUAGAUACCCUGGUAGUCCGCGCAGUAAACGAUGAGUGCUCGCGGUGCGUCCCUUGUGGAUACGCCGCCAAGCGAAAGCGUUAAGCACUCCACCUGGGGAGUACGCCGGCAACGGUGAAACUCAAAGGAAUUGACGGGGGCCCGCACAAGCGGAGGAACAUGUGGUUUAAUUCGAUGAUACGCGAGGAACCUUACCCGGGCUUGAAAUGUGACAGACGGCAGGCAGAGACGCCUGCUUCCUUCGGGCUGUCAUGUAGGUGCUGCAUGGUUGUCGUCAGCUCGUGCCGUGAGGUGUUGGCUUAAGUGCCAUAACGAGCGCAACCCUUUCCGCCGGUUACCAUCAGGUUAUGCUGGGGACUCCGGCGGCACUGCCGCCGCAAGGCGUGAGGAAGGUGGGGAUGACGUCAAAUCAGCACGGCCCUUACGUCCGGGGCCACACACGUGUUACAAUGGGGGGCACAGCGAGUUGGCGGCCGGUGACGGCCGUCGGAUCAACAAAUCCCCUCCCAGUUCGGAUCGGAGCCUGCAACCCGGCUCCGUGAAGCUGGAUUCGCUAGUAAUCGCGCAUCAGCCAUGGCGCGGUGAAUACGUUCCCGGGCCUUGCACUCACCGCCCGUCA